GGGGGCGAUAGGUUUCGACAGGGAAAUAGCAUCAUAAGUUGCGCGCCGAGGACCCGCUGGCCUCGUUAAAAGCGGGAAGCCUAUAAACGGCACAAAUCAGUACGCAUUGGCUGCUUAAUGCAACCCGUCCGCCCGGUCUAAGCCGAAGUGACCGGAUACGGGCGUCACAAGAUUCGGCUAACCUGUAGGAAAGGCUCGUGGUCCUCCAGGGAAACCAAGCGAGCUGGCGUAUAGGAAUCCUGCCUGUGGGAGUCUGAAAGCGCGAGAACCAAAUCGCAGGACACGCGCGUAGACGCUUAUGAAUGCUUUUCCUUGGACCCGGGUUCGAAUCCCGGCGCCUCCACCA
RNAcentral lists this transfer-messenger RNA (346 nucleotides) under Armatimonadota bacterium. It matches the Rfam family "transfer-messenger RNA". From Rfam's summary of the family: Bacterial tmRNA, also known as 10Sa RNA or SsrA, is named for its dual tRNA and mRNA-like properties. Its role is to liberate the mRNA from a stalled ribosome. Lineage: Bacteria; Bacillati; Armatimonadota. The record is from RNAcentral.